UACGAAAGGAGCAAGUGUUAUUCAGAUUAACUGGGCGUAAAGGGCACGUAGGCGGUUUGUUUAUGUGGAUUAUUAAAUUAUAAAGCAUAACUUUAUAAUGUAGUAUAAACAGCAAAACUAGAGUUAGGUAGAGAGUAGUAGAAUUUCUAAUGUAAAGGUGAAAUUUGAUAAAAUUAGAGAGAAUACCAAUGGCGUAAGCACCUUCUUGGACCUUAGCUGACACUGAGGUGCGAAGGUAUGGGGAGCAAAUAGG
This 253-nucleotide ribosomal RNA is filed under the name uncultured bacterium. Its description in RNAcentral is "partial 16S ribosomal RNA". It matches the Rfam family "Bacterial small subunit ribosomal RNA", at positions 524 to 776 of the family's 1533-position model. The record is from RNAcentral.